Molecule: small nuclear RNA, 107 nt
Filed under: Nannospalax galili (Upper Galilee mountains blind mole rat)
Lineage: Eukaryota; Metazoa; Chordata; Mammalia; Rodentia; Spalacidae
Source: RNAcentral
GUGCUCACUUCGGCAGCACAUAUACUAAAAUUGGAAUGAUACAGAGAAGUUUAGCAUGGUCCCUGAGCAAGGAUGACAUGCAAAUUUGUGAAGUGUUCCAUAUUUUU